GAUGAACGCUGGCGGCGUGCCUAAUACAUGCAAGUCGAGCGAACGGACGAGAAGCUUGCUUCUCUGAUGUUAGCGGCGGACGGGUGAGUAACACGUGGAUAACCUACCUAUAAGACUGGGAUAACUUCGGGAAACCGGAGCUAAUACCGGAUAAUAUUUUGAACCGCAUGGUUCAAAAGUGAAAGACGGUCUUGCUGUCACUUAUAGAUGGAUCCGCGCUGCAUUAGCUAGUUGGUAAGGUAACGGCUUACCAAGGCAACGAUGCAUAGCCGACCUGAGAGGGUGAUCGGCCACCCUGGAACUGAGACACGGUCCAGACUCCUACGGGAGGCAGCAGUAGGGAAUCUUCCGCAAUGGGCGAAAGCCUGACGGAGCAACGCCGCGUGAGUGAUGAAGGUCUUCGGAUCGUAAAACUCUGUUAUUAGGGAAGAACAUAUGUGUAAGUAACUGUGCACAUCUUGCCGGUACCUAAUCAGAAAGCCACGGCUAACUA
This 493-nucleotide ribosomal RNA is filed under the name uncultured bacterium. Its description in RNAcentral is "partial 16S ribosomal RNA". It matches the Rfam family "Bacterial small subunit ribosomal RNA", at positions 28 to 503 of the family's 1533-position model. The record is from RNAcentral.